Molecule: ribosomal RNA, 402 nt
Filed under: uncultured prokaryote
Description: bacterial SSU rRNA
Rfam family: Bacterial small subunit ribosomal RNA
Source: RNAcentral
UGGGGAAUAUUGGACAAUGGGCGAAAGCCUGAUCCAGCCAUGCCGCGUGAGUGAUGAAGGCCUUAGGGUUGUAAAGCUCUUUCGCAGGUGAAGAUAAUGACGGUAACCUGAGAAGAAGCCCCGGCUAACUUCGUGCCAGCAGCCGCGGUAAUACGAAGGGGGCUAGCGUUGUUCGGAAUUACUGGGCGUAAAGCGCACGUAGGCGGACUAUUAAGUCAGGGGUGAAAUCCCCGGGCUCAACCCCGGAACUGCCUUUGAUACUGGUAGUCUCGAGUCAGGAAGAGGUGAGUGGAAUUCCGAGUGUAGAGGUGAAAUUCGUAGAUAUUCGGAGGAACACCAGUGGCGAAGGCGGCUCACUGGUCCGGUACUGACGCUGAGGUGCGAAAGCGUGGGGAGCAAACA